Homo sapiens (human) is the source of this 580-nucleotide long non-coding RNA. Ensembl annotates it as testis expressed 56, pseudogene. Its record names the gene TEX56P. The record is from Ensembl. Lineage: Eukaryota; Metazoa; Chordata; Mammalia; Primates; Hominidae.
AGAAUGCCAGGCAAUAAGAGAUCAGAAAGCUGGUUCCACUUCAUCUUGGAGAUGGAGGAAAGCUUGCCAGAACAACUGCACACCCCAUCCACUCCUCAUGUUCUCAGUUUGUUCUUCUCUGUGAUACAACCAGCAUCACGAGAACAGCCAGCAGCAGCUCCAGCGUGAUAAAAUUUUCACUCCUUGACAAGUGUAAGAAGCCGGAAAACUGUGCCCAGCCAGAAGUUUUGUGUCGCCCCUUUGAGAUGCUGUCUAACCUCCACGAGCUGCUUCCGAAUCACCUGAUGGAGACGCUUUAUUCCCGCAAGAGUGAAGAGGACAAGAAAAAAUGUGAGAAUCCUGAACUCUCUGGCUUAGAAAGAAUCUUAGCAAGACAUCAGUUGCCAAAAGAGAUUAAUCUGACCCCAAAGCCGAACAGAAUGCCCCCGUGGAAAAGAAAAAUCAUCAACAAUGUAACUGACGGGUGGAAGAAAUGUCACUUGUUGAAGAGAAACACGAAAGAGCCUCCAAUGUCCACCAUAGUUGUCAGUGUUACAGGUUGGAGUCUCAAGCGCUGAGAUAGAAAUAAGAAUGCAAAAGG